GACGAACGCUGGCGGCGUGCCUAAUACAUGCAAGUAGAACGCACAGUUUAUACCGUAGCUUGCUACACCAUAGACUGUGAGUUGCGAACGGGUGAGUAACGCGUAGGUAACCUGCCUGGUAGCGGGGGAUAACUAUUGGAAACGAUAGCUAAUACCGCAUAAUAUUAAUUAUUGCAUGAUAAUUAAUUGAAAGGUGCAAUUGCACCACUACCAGAUGGACCUGCGUUGUAUUAGCUAGUAGGGGAGGUAACGGCUCACCUAGGCGACGAUACAUAGCCGACCCGGGAGGGUGAAUGGGCAACACUGGAAUGGGACACGGCCCAGACUUCUACGGGGAGCAGCAGGAGGGGAUCUUCGGACAUGGACGAAAGGCCUACCGAGCAACGCCGGGUGGGGGAAGGAGGGUCUCGGAUCGGAAAACUCUGUUGUAAGGGAAGGACGGGUGGGAGAGUGGAAAGUUCACAUUGUGACGGUAUCUUAAGAGAAAGGGACGGCUAACUACGUG
This 505-nucleotide ribosomal RNA is filed under the name uncultured bacterium. RNAcentral's name for it is "partial 16S ribosomal RNA". It matches the Rfam family "Bacterial small subunit ribosomal RNA", at positions 28 to 507 of the family's 1533-position model. The record is from RNAcentral.